GAGUUUGAUCCUGGCUCAGAAUCAACGCUGGCGGCGUGCCUAACACAUGCAAGUCGAACGAGAAAGGGUAGCAAUGCCCGAGUAAAGUGGCGCACGGGUGAGUAACACGUGACUGACCUACCUUUGAGUGGGGGAUAACCUAGGGAAACCUGGGCUAAUACCGCAUAACACCUACGGGUCAAAGUCCGCCUCGGCGGACGCUGAAAGAGGGGGUCGCGGUCGAUUAGUUAGUUGGCAGGGUAAUGGCCUACCAAGACUGUGAUCGAUAUCCGGCCUGAGAGGGCGCACGGACACACUGGAACUGAAACACGGUCCAGACUCCUACGGGAGGCAGCAGUGGGGAAUUUUGCGCAAUGGGGGAAACCCUGACGCAGCAAGGCCGCGUGGAGGAUGAAGUCCCUUGGGACGUAAACUCCCUUCGAUCGGGACGAUAAUGACGGUACCGGAAGAAGAAGCCCCGGCUAACUUCGUGCCAGCAGCCGCGGUAAUACGAGGGGGGCAAGCGUUGUUCGGAAUUAUUGGGCGUAAAGGGUGCGUAGGUGGUUCGGCAAGUCUUGUGUGAAAUCUUCAGGCUCAACUUG
This 581-nucleotide ribosomal RNA is filed under the name uncultured bacterium. RNAcentral describes it as "bacterial SSU rRNA". It matches the Rfam family "Bacterial small subunit ribosomal RNA", at positions 9 to 616 of the family's 1533-position model. The record is from RNAcentral.